AUGAAGCAAUCCAAUGAUUUAGUGUCUGCUUACACAAAAAACUUUGAAGAUCUAAUGGCAGAAGUACAAGAAGAAAAUCCAGAGUUGGGAGAAUUAUGGAUGCAACAAGAAACAAUGGAGCAGAAUGACAAUACUGAAGAGCAAUCUCCUCCAGAACAAGAGAAACUAACUGAAGAAGGCAAACAAGCUAUGUUUAUUUCUACCACAGUAGGACAUCAACUAGAUAUUCCAUCUCCAACAGUAAUAGUGCACAUAAAUGGAAAAAGAGUUGUAACCCUUCUGGAUUCAAGAAGUAUUGCUUCUUUCAUGAGCCAAGAUUUUGCUGUGAAAUGUAGCUAUCAACUGUUACCUAUAAAACCAAGAGUUAUUGUUGUGACUGGUGGAUGCAGACUUAUUUCUUCAGCUGUAGCACCUAACAGAGUAGCAACAAACCUCAAGAAGAUACAAGCUAUUGUUGAGUGGCCAGCACCAGACAAUGUUACAAAACUAAGGAGUUUUUUGGGUUUGGCAGGAACUACCAUGGUGUUGUUUUUGUGCAAAAAAAGUUCUCAGAUUGGAACGAAACUUUGCGAGAAUUUUUUAUACAACAAAAGAGAAUUUCUGGAGCCAAGAACCACCGGAGGGGGGCACCUGGGUGGGCACAACCCACCAUGGCGCCCCCCCUCCAAGUGCGCCAAGUUCCCAUGUUAG
This 690-nucleotide ribosomal RNA is filed under the name Triticum aestivum (bread wheat). Its description in RNAcentral is "partial small subunit ribosomal RNA". The record is from RNAcentral. Lineage: Eukaryota; Viridiplantae; Streptophyta; Magnoliopsida; Poales; Poaceae.